AGACAGCAGCCGCCGCGGUAAUACGAAGGGGGCUAGCGUUGUUCGGAAUUACUGGGCGUAAAGGGCGCGUAGGCGGCCACUCAAGUUAGAUGUGAAAGCCCUGGGCUCAACCUAGGAAUUGCAUUUGAUACUGUUUGGCUUGAGUUCGGGAGAGGUGAGUGGAAUUCCCAGUGUAGAGGUGAAAUUCGUAGAUAUUGGGAAGAACACCAGUGGCGAAGGCGGCUCACUGGACCGACACUGACGCUGAGGCGCGAAAGCGUGGGGAGCAAACAGGAUUAGAUACCCGCGUAGUCCCUGUCUCUUAUAC
Molecule: ribosomal RNA, 307 nt
Filed under: uncultured bacterium
Lineage: Bacteria
Description: partial 16S ribosomal RNA
Rfam family: Bacterial small subunit ribosomal RNA
Source: RNAcentral